Molecule: ribosomal RNA, 254 nt
Filed under: uncultured bacterium
Lineage: Bacteria
Description: partial 16S ribosomal RNA
Rfam family: Bacterial small subunit ribosomal RNA
Source: RNAcentral
UACGGAGGGUGCGAGCGUUUGUCCGGAUUUAUUGGGUUUAAAGGGUGCGUAGGUGGCGCCGUAAGUCAGGUGUGAAAUUUCGGAGCUUAACUCCGAAACUGCAUUUGAUACUGCGGUGCUUGAGGACUGGAGAGGAGACUGGAAUUCACGGUGUAGCAGUGAAAUGCGUAGAUAUCGUGAGGAAGACCAGUGGCGAAGGCGGGUCUCUGGACAGUUCCUGACACUGAGGCACGAAGGCCAGGGGAGCAAACAGG